RNAcentral lists this ribosomal RNA (497 nucleotides) under uncultured bacterium. RNAcentral describes it as "partial 16S ribosomal RNA". It matches the Rfam family "Bacterial small subunit ribosomal RNA", at positions 28 to 507 of the family's 1533-position model. The record is from RNAcentral.
GAUGAACGCUGGCGGCGUGCCUAAUACAUGCAAGUCGAGCGAACAGAUAAGGAGCUUGCUCCUUUGACGUUAGCGGCGGACAGGUGAGUAACACGUGGAUAACCUACCUAUAAGACUGGGAUAACUUCGGGAAACCGGAGCUAAUACCGGAUAACAUAUUGAACCGCAUGGUUCAAUAGUGAAAGGCGGCUUUGCUGUCACUUAUAGAUGGAUCCGCGCCGUAUUAGCUAGUUGGUAAGGUAACGGCGUACCAAGGCAACGAUACGUAGCCGACCUGAGAGGGGGGUCGACGACAACGGAACGGAGACGCGGUCCAGAAUACUCCGGGAGGCAGCAGUAGGGGAUCUUACGCAAUGGGCGGAAGCAGGACGGAGCAACGCCGCGUGAGUGGUGAAGGUCUUCGGAUCGUAAAAAUCUGUUAUCGGGGAAGAACAAAUGUGGAAGUAUCUGUGCAUAGCUUGACGGUACCUGAUCAGAAAGCGACGGCUAACUACGUG